AACGAACGCUGGCGGCAUGCCUAACACAUGCAAGUCGAACGAGACCUUCGGGUCUAGUGGCGCACGGGUGCGUAACGCGUGGGAACCUGCCCUUAGGUUCGGAAUAACUCCCCGAAAGGGGUGCUAAUACCGGAUAAUGUCGUCGGACCAAAGAUUUAUCGCCUGUGGAUGGGCCCGCGUUGGAUUAGCUAGUUGGUAGGGUAAAAGCCUACAAAGGCGACGAUCCAUAGCUGGUCUGAGAGGAUGAUCAGCCACACUGGGACUGAGACACGGCCCAGACUCCUACGGGAGGCAGCAGUGGGGAAUAUUGGACAAUGGGCGAAAGCCUGAUCCAGCAAUGCCGCGUGAGUGAUGAAGGCCUUAGGGUUGUAAAGCUCUUUUACCCGGGAUGAUAAUGACAGUACCGGGAGAAUAAGCUCCGGCUAACUCCGUG
This 433-nucleotide ribosomal RNA is filed under the name uncultured bacterium. Its description in RNAcentral is "partial 16S ribosomal RNA". It matches the Rfam family "Bacterial small subunit ribosomal RNA", at positions 29 to 507 of the family's 1533-position model. The record is from RNAcentral.